This 43-nucleotide small RNA is filed under the name Sinorhizobium meliloti 2011. Its description in RNAcentral is "putative ncRNA". The record is from RNAcentral. Lineage: Bacteria; Pseudomonadati; Pseudomonadota; Alphaproteobacteria; Hyphomicrobiales; Rhizobiaceae.
GCGUCGAUCCGCAUGAGCACCUCCAGGGGUCGUUUGAAAAGUC